Molecule: long non-coding RNA, 631 nt
Filed under: Danio rerio (zebrafish)
Lineage: Eukaryota; Metazoa; Chordata; Actinopteri; Cypriniformes; Danionidae
Description: lncRNA si:ch211-69l10.2 (ENSDARG00000093108.4)
Source: RNAcentral
GGGCUCGAGACGAAGUAUCCAAAGAAUAACUCCACACCUGAAAGGGAAUAUCUGCAGAAACCGAAUCAAUUCUGGAACAAAAGAGGACCUUCAGAACAGCUGCCGGCCUGCCUGUCGUUCUCUUGCUGGAAGCCUGAAACCAGAGCUAGGGGUGAAUGCCAAACUUUUCAGGAAAAGACCUCCACAUUCUGGCCCCCCGUGAGCUGACAGCUCUUUGCCAUCAAAGUCAACAAUACUGCUUUGCUGCAAGGAGAUGAAGAUCGGCUGUUGACUGCGGACAGCUGGGUUUCACACAAUGGCAUAAAGAUGCGGAAAAGGAGUCUGCAUCCUCCGAAAGAUGCGGACUUCAACGGUGAGUCCUUCGAAGUCCACACAGGCUGAACGGAGCGUUUUCUACCCAAGAGAGGACAGAUUUCAGCACCAAGCAACCAUAACAGCUGCUGAUAAUAAGCGGAAAUAAAAAUUGUAAUGCAUUUUUUUUUCAAAGUGAUUUUAAAACUUAUUUUCAGCGAUCUUAAGGCAAAGCAAAUUUCCUUUGAUCCAUGAAUUUACACAUAAAAAUGUAAACUGUCGACUCUUUUUGUAAUUUAACAUGUGUUAUUGGAAGGGGAAUAAACUUAAUUUAUACAUU